AUGGGUGUUGGCUCCAACAAUUCCCAUUGGUCUCAAACCAAUGAAGUGCAUUUAAAUGAUCAUGAGUUUGAGGUGGACGAGGAUGGUGAGGGUAUCGUCGAUGCACUGAAAGGAAGAGCAGGCAACUACACCAUGGAGGAAGACAUCUUGCUAUGCAAUAGAUGGAUGCAAGUGUCUAUGGAUGCCAACAUUGGAGGGGACCAAAGUAGAGAUGCAUAUUGGAUCCGGAUGAAGGAGCACUUUGAUGUACACAACACGAGUGGAAUUGACCGCAUGGAGAGAUAUCUUCGCUCCCGGUGGUCGACAAUCAACAAAGAUUGUCAAAGGUGGGCGGCGGCACUUAAGGCGGUUGACACGUUCAACCGAAGUGACACUAAUGAUAGAGACAUGGUAAGUACCUUUUUUUGUUUUUUGAAAUGCUAA
This 423-nucleotide ribosomal RNA is filed under the name Triticum aestivum (bread wheat). Its description in RNAcentral is "partial small subunit ribosomal RNA". The record is from RNAcentral. Lineage: Eukaryota; Viridiplantae; Streptophyta; Magnoliopsida; Poales; Poaceae.